RNAcentral lists this ribosomal RNA (253 nucleotides) under uncultured bacterium. RNAcentral describes it as "partial 16S ribosomal RNA". It matches the Rfam family "Bacterial small subunit ribosomal RNA", at positions 524 to 776 of the family's 1533-position model. The record is from RNAcentral.
UACGUAGGCAGCAAGCGUUGUUCGGAGUUACUGGGCGUAAAGGGUGUGUAGGCGGUUGUUUAAGGUUGGUGUGAAAUCUCCCGGCUCAACUGGGAGGGUGCGCCGAAUACUGAAUGACUAGAGUGCGGGAGAGGAAAGUGGAAUUCCUGGUGUAGCGGUGAAAUGCGUAGAUAUCAGGAGGAACACCGGUGGUGUAGACGGCUUUCUGGACCGUAACUGACGCUGAGACACGAAAGCGUGGGUAGCAAACAGG